Molecule: ribosomal RNA, 253 nt
Filed under: uncultured bacterium
Lineage: Bacteria
Description: partial 16S ribosomal RNA
Rfam family: Bacterial small subunit ribosomal RNA
Source: RNAcentral
UACGUAGGGGGCAAGCGUUGUCCGGAAUCAUUGGGCGUAAAGAGCGCGCAGGCGGUCGAUCAAGUCGCGUGUGAAAGCCCCCGGCUCAACUGGGGAGGGUCACGCGAUACUGAUCGACUCGAAGGCAGGAGAGGGUAGUGGAAUUCCCGGUGUAGUGGUGAAAUGCGUAGAUAUCGGGAGGAACACCAGUGGCGAAGGCGACUACCUGGCCUGUUCUUGACGCUGAGGCGCGAAAGCUAGGGGAGCAAACGGG